RNAcentral lists this ribosomal RNA (467 nucleotides) under uncultured bacterium. Its description in RNAcentral is "partial 16S ribosomal RNA". It matches the Rfam family "Bacterial small subunit ribosomal RNA", at positions 28 to 507 of the family's 1533-position model. The record is from RNAcentral.
GACGAACGCUGGCGGCGUGCUUAACACAUGCAAGUCGAACGGAAAGGCCUCUUUCGGGGGGUACUCGAGUGGCGAACGGGUGAGUAACACGUGAGUAACCUGCCCUUGACUUUGGGAUAACUUCAGGAAACUGGGGCUAAUACCGGAUAGGAGCUCCUGCUACAUGGUGGGGGUUGGAAAGUUUCGGCGGUUGGGGAUGGACUCGCGGCUUAUCAGCUUGUUGGUGGGGUAGUGGCUUACCAAGGCUUUGACGGGUAGCCGGCCUGAGAGGGUGACCGGCCACAUUGGGACUGAGAUACGGCCCAGACUCCUACGGGAGGCAGCAGUGGGGAAUAUUGCACAAUGGGUGGAAGCCUGAUGCAGCAACGCCGGGUGCGGGAUGACGGACUUCGGGUUGUAAACCGCUUUCGCUCAUGACGAAGCUUUGUGUGACGGUAGUGGGUAAAGAAGCACCGGCUAACUACGUG